RNAcentral lists this long non-coding RNA (1253 nucleotides) under Takifugu rubripes (torafugu). RNAcentral's name for it is "lncRNA (ENSTRUG00000029547.1)". The record is from RNAcentral. Lineage: Eukaryota; Metazoa; Chordata; Actinopteri; Tetraodontiformes; Tetraodontidae.
GCAUCAGUGGCUCCAGCUGUGGCUUCGACAAUCCAGGACUUCCGAGAAUGACAUUGGGUUAUGCUAAUUGGCUUGUCACGAAUCUCUAAGGGUGAAGACGUGAUCCAAAUAGGCGAUCAUUACCUUUAGGUCAUGUGGAGCUGCCAUCUCUGCUCGAAAGUGUAGAGUUGGAGGAUCCGGUGCAGCACUGGCUCCUCUCUGCAGCACAGAGGGAUCUGGAUUUAAACCUCGGCAGCACAGAGAGGUGGCGAGCGAGGGGUAGAGGAAGUUAAUUACUGUCCUAACAGCUGCGCGCGGAUCAAUAGCUGUCUGGAAUCACGGUUCCACUCCCUGCAGCUCCUCAACACGAGAAUGGUUUCAUGUGUGUGCCAGCCUGAAAGAUGGAGGGAGUGUGUCAGGUUGAACAGCACAGCGUUAACUGUCACGCCAGUCAAAAAUGUCCUUGUGGUGACGGAUGGGUGGGAAAAUGGGACAGAUGCAAGGAAAGAUGGACAGAUGAAUGACAGGACAGUGGAGGGGGAUUCGCUGUUUUUUAGGGAUUCUUUUGUGGUUGUUGCACACGGAAUGACUGACCAAAGGGCCGAUGGAUGCAAAUCGGAGCAACCGUUGCAUGUUCCUUGGUCGUACUGUCGGGGCUGGAGAUGCCCUACAUGGCUUUUCUACUCUUUUAUGUCCUGGAUAAAAGUAUCUUCAGGUCAAGUAUCCGAGAGCGGAGCAGGUGCAAUUCCUACAUGAAAUUGGAGGGUUGUUAUAGCAACUUCCAUCCGUGUUUCGAGCAGUGGACAUUUUAAAGUUUUUCACUACCUUGGAAUAAAAUGAAUCUUGCAUUUUUUUCUACUCAUUUCAUCUCCUGAACCUUCGUGUUAUUUCCGGUGGCGACACAUUUUCUUUCCCUCAAAGGAUCAAUGUUUUGUGUUCAGCAAAUGAUUUCAAUGACUGGAAAAUGAGAAAGUGUUCACAUAUUCAAUGUAAUUAGCAUCUUAAAAUGUUUUGAUCCGUCUAAUGUUUUCAAGCCCAGGAUAUUCAUUUUAGAACAGACUGAACAGACAGCAGACCUCACCGAUGACGCAGAACUUUGCAGUGUCAUAACUCAUCGUGUUGAAAUAAACAAAUGUUGCAGCAACCAUUUGCAUAAAAAGUGAAUCCAUAUUUAUUGUUGAUGCUUUUGCUACAACAGCAAGUGCAUCACUUUCUCCAUCAUUAUCCACUGGUCAGUCAUUAUAUUUUAAACAUGCCUUUAUUAUUUAGCCCCC